CAUGCAUCGGAGGCAACAGAAUCAAUAGGGAUUUGAAUCAGCAAGAACUUUUAUGGUGGAUGUUGAUGCCUUAGAGUACUGUUCUUCAACUGAACCUUGUUUGAGAAUGCUCUCCCCUUUGCUUGUAUUCUUACACAUAUUGUGCUUGCUGCAAUGUGAAGUUGUUGUGUGGAAAUGUUAUACGGAACUGAAAUCAAUUGAAAUAAGCAGAGGAAACAAAUGACCGUAGAAUUCAAGCAAUAUAUGUAGUUUUUCAGGUUAGUAAUUAUUGAGAGGAAGACACCAUAGUAGCUCCAACUCUACUGAAUCCCACUACUGAAUUUUCUCCAUGAUGAUAGCCACUGAAUAAUCACUUCUCCAUGAUGAUAGAAGCUCAAUAAUCACCAUGGUUGCAGUAGCUGAAUUAUCAUCGUGACUGUAGCUGUGUGCAUCCUGUGUUUAUGCCAUCAAUUAUGGCCUGUAAUUUUUUUCUCUCAUUCUUCCAAUGUAUAUUGUAUAGAUGAAGAUGAUGCAACUGUAAAUAUGAUGAGAUUCCUUCACACUCAAUUUACAGUCUUUAUGGUAUCAGAGCACACAUUGCUCUAGCGAGUUCAUAUCUUCCUCCAUGCUAAUCUAGUGUGUCAAACAACCCAUCAUCAUUUAUCAUAAUGGCUGAUAAAACAUUAUGAGCAAGUUCCCAAAGCCAGGUUGUUGUAAACACAGGAUGCACACAGCUAUAGUCACAGAGAUAAUUCAGCUGCUGCAAUUAUGGUGAUUAUUCAGGUACUAUCAUCUUGGACAAGUGAUUAUUCAGCUCCUAUCAUCAUGGAGAAAAUUCAGUGAUGAGAUUUGGUUAAAUCAGAGCAACUGAUGAUGUCAUCCUUUCAAUUAUGUCCAUAGGCAAAUGUGACCAGAUAUGGCUUAGAUUAUGCAGUACAGAGCAUAUGGAAUGUCUCUGUAACUGAACUCUUAUGAAUAAUACAAGGUCCAUUUAAUUUGGAACAUGGGAAGAAGUUGUAGGAUUGAAUAAGGAGUAGAUCAUAGGGGAAGCAUUCAAAUCUGGGAUUUAUAUUUUCCUGAAUUGUGAUGAACUAGACAACUAAGUGACAUCCAAAAACUGUCAUAAAUCACAUGAGACAGAGCCCAACUUCAGUGAAGAGUGCCUUGUCUGAGCCAUUAUAGAAGCCACUGCCCCACGUUCACUGUAGCAUGUGAUAUUUACUUAUGCAUGUUUGGCAAAAUUGGCUGAUAAGUCCCUGACAAGAAGUGUGAACUUGACCAUGUUACUUAUAAUAAAUUUAAGAAGCCAUCCCAACGUCCAGAAAGGAAAUUUGUAGAUUCAGUGAAGUUUAAAUUGGUAAAUUUGUACCAAUUAUUAAGUAAAACAACACUAAGGAGUUUGCAAAGAUGAUGGGAGUCCAUGCAUUGGUGAUUUGUUAAUCUUCUAUGCUUACAAGCUGUAAAAUAGUAAAAGUAACAUAGAUCCUGCAUCCUUCCCAGUUAAAAAUGUUGUCAAUCUUUUGAUAGUUAAUUUAGUUUAAUGAUAAUUUCAGGCCCUCUGAUGAAACAGUGACCAUGAAAUUAAAUGUUCAAAAAACUUGGGAAGGGCUUAGCUGGUAUUUGAACAAAUGGUCACCAUGUAAAGAGUGCUGUGCUAGUGUGAACUUCCACCUGUACAUAUUCAUCCUCUUUUACAUCUUUGGUCCUCUCCCCUAUUACGUUUCUUCGUAGCCUGGUUCAAAUGGUAAUUACCUCUCUUUAGAGUGUCAACACUAGCUUCAAUCUGCAAUCACUCAGCUACCCCUCAAAGAGUGUUUUUGCAACUGUUCCUAGGUGGGUAAGACUUUGUUUACCUCAGUCAUAACUGCAUUUUUAUACCAUUUAGCCAUUGCCUUCUUGCAUUGGUCUGAUCUGAUCAUCAUAACACCUGCAACAUUUGUAUAACUAAAAUGUUUUCAAGGAUUCCAUCACCUGGACUCAUUGUAGGCGUCUUCGAUCCGCUUUCUCCCAUCUCUUGUUGAUUAAGUACCAUCUAGCAAGGGCAGUCAUCGCAAUACUCUCCACUUGUCUGACAUUCCAGAGUGAUAACGAAUAAAAUUUAACGUACAUAGAGGAUCCGAAGAUAGAGAUGGACGGUAACCACUAGAAUCUAGUCAGUGUGGAAUGGAAAAUAGGUGCCCAAGGGAACCUCAAACUCUAGAAAUUAGUUCUUGCAAGCCAAUAUUUUUUAAAAGGAGUCUUUUGUUUAUUUUGUUGAAGAGCCUUACUUGUUACCCAAUGAAGACCAGUGAAGGCCUGAAUAUAAUCAUGGUUCGCAGCAAUCUCAAGAAACUAUUUGGACAUGCAGAUUCUUUUAGUUCUUUUGCCUAAUCCUGAACUGACAUGCUGUCCUAUUGAAAUUUUAUAGAAUUUCAGCUUGUUGAAAUAUCACCUGACCUUUCUUUAGUUUGUAGUGGCAACCCAACGCCUGUGACAAAUGCUGAAGUUUGGUCUAAUAUCUUACUGUCAUCAGCAGGGAAAAAGAAAUCCUUGUGAUGAAUUGUGAGGUUGGGUCCUAAUAUCAUGGCAACCGUGGUGUAUUUGAUCAUAUGCUUAAGUUGCUAUAAUAUUCAAGAAAAAAAAUUUAAAUCUUCUUUUACAUAUUAGUGAAUAUUAAUGUCAAUAAUAUAGGAAUUUUGAUAAUAGAAAUACUUGUGAUUGAUGAUUUAUAGAGGAUUAACAGCAAGUUCAAUUUUUUACACUAUCAUAUGCCUGUAGUUUAAUACUCCUAACAUCUUGAUAAUUUUGCAGAUGUAGAAGUUCCAGCUGCAUGCAUCAUACUGAUAGGCUUGUUUGCUCUCCAACAUUAUGGUACCCACAGGGUUGGAUUCUUAUUUGCACCUGUGGUAGUCACAUGGCUUUUUUGUAUCAGUGCGAUUGGUUUAUAUAAUAUUUUUCACUGGAACCCUCAUGUGUAUCGAGCACUGUCUCCAUACUACAUGUACACAUUUUUGAAGAAAACUCAAAGAGGAGGUUGGAUGUCCUUGGGGGGAAUCCUGUUGUGUAUAACUGGUAAAUGUGCAUGCAUAUGAUUAAUUGUGAAUUUUAUGGCAUUUACAAUCAAACUGGUUUUCUUUUUCCUAAUACCCACUUCCAUUGCUCCAGGUUCAGAAGCUAUGUUUGCUGAUCUUGGGCACUUUUCACAGUUAUCAAUCAAGGUAUGUAUUUUUAGUGAGUACAUUAACUGACGAUUUUUUGAUAAUUCUCCCUGAGACAUGUUUGGCUAAUUCUCCAUGGGGAAAAACCAUCUGACUAAAAACUAGCUAGUUUUAUUUUCUAAACUUUUAAGGUUGUUUAAAAUUUUCCCAGAAGCCCCUUUUGUGAGCCUUGUUUGUACCUAUCUUCAGCUUCUUCUUUUUUCCCACAAUCGGAGGGCAAGUUGCUCACCUGGCAUCUCAACUUCCCUAUUAGCAUCUGUAAUGCACUUUCAUGAAGUUCGUUGUUGCAGUAUUUUUCAGAUCAGUCGUAAUUAGCACCUGCCACUUACAUGUUGAUUAUUAUCUGAUUAAAAUGAUAUUUGAUACUUCCCUUUAUUGCAGCGGGCCAAUUUUUAAUUGAAAAGAAGUUGUGAACUCAUCACCUGAGUUUACAUCCUGUUGCAGGUGUAAAUGUCUGCCUUAAAUCUUUCUUCCAUAGAAAUGGGCAGCUAGUAAUAUUUUUGCUGCAAAGCAGCAACUUCAAAACUUCAGGGGAAUUUGUUAGCUUAUUUUGGCACUUGCCCUGUGUAUUUUGAUAUACAAAACCAUCUUUUGGAGUCAAAGCACCGGAAGUGUUAACACAACCACACACACACAAAUAGAAUUAAAAGAAAAAAGAAAAAGAGAUUUUAACAUGGUUUGGUGAUCAAUGUGAUCCCUAUGUUCACAAAGCGCACCAACACUUAAGAAUCUACUAAUAAAACAAAGAUAGAAGGGUUACAAUGGUGAAGGCUCUUCUUCUCCUCACAAUUUCUACUACAUACAAUUUUUAUCUCUCUAACGAAACCUUAAAUCAUAAGAGGGUUGAAUAUAGUAGAGCAAAACUUGUCAUUCAAUAAUAAUAAAUAAAUAAAUAAAUUAUCCAUGGGUGUUGCCCCCUUCAAACCCCGCAAACUCAGCGGGGAACUCGACCCUCGACAUCCUCUGCAUAGCAUAAUAAUACUGAUUCAAGCUUUACAAUCCAAUAGGAGGCACACAAGUCAAUACCUAUUAUGAAGUUUAUCUUGGUUCUCUCAUUUUUUCAUGUUUCUUGUAUUAACUCGCUUGGUUUUUAUUAUUAUUAUGGUUUAGUACUGGGGAGUGAAGAUUUCAAGAUUGUUCUAAAAUUCUAAACAUCGCUACGGGUGUCAACAGGGCUUGUCUCAUAUAAGUGUUUAGACUCCUUGACCUUGGCAGUUGUUAGGAUCAAAUAUUAGUCCUAAUAGGUCAUUAUAGCAAGGGUUGUCAACAGGAACCUUUGUCUUUGGUUUCCACAACAUUAGUAGUUGUUGGAAUCGAAUAUUGGACCCAACAUGCAAAUAGGGUGGGUGGCUAUAUCUGUAAGUAUAUUCUGACCCAGUAAGGGCCUGCCAUUAGGAAGACACCAUGUAUUGAUUGUGAAUAUUUAACAAAACUAUAGAUGAAGUGGCUUUCACUUGUUUCUCCCUUUUUUAAUGAAUUUUUCGUAUUCUUUUGUUUCAAAGGUUGAAGUUUUAGUUAUAUUUUGCCCCUUCAAAUCCACAUGUUGAAGUGCUAAUUGAGUAAUUGUUACAUUGCUUGUUAAACUUGAGUUAAUAUCACCUGGAUAAAGGUUGGUGGGUUUUGUGAGAUGAGGGUGGUCAAUUUCAGGAACACAUGCUCCAUGACCCUUGUACACAAUCCCCAAUCCUCCCAACCAGGACCUUAGUGGGUUGUGCUCCAAGAUUUACCAGGAUAAACUAUAUUGAACUUCCAAACUCUUAAAUUCGAAUAUUAACAUUCUACUCCGUGUAGUUGGAGCAAGGAAUGGUGCCUCCUUUGCUGGAUGCAGAAUUUGAAUAUGCCCCAGGAAAUUCCUACCAUACAAAAUGCUUGACAUCUCACUCCAAAUUUACUGAUCAGAAACAUAAAUAAGUCAGAAGUUUAACAUAAUUCAAAGUGCUUACUGAUGCUGUCCAGUCUACUGACACACCCUUCUUACACUGUUUGUGAAUAUUGAGUUGCUGACUGUUUAGGUGAUAAUCAGAGAGUCUGUAUAGGUUCUAUUUUCCAAUGCCAAUAAGAAUAACAUUCUUCUUUAGUAUCAAGAAUUUAUUGCUAAAAAAUUAUUGGGUUGAUCAUGUUUUUUUUUCCUCCCCUUUUCCCUUUUGUCUUUCAUUACUUGUACCUUGUUCUUUUGUGGCAACUUCAACAAUUAGAAAGAUUCCAUUUGUUUACUUAAGAAAGUUACAAGUUUCUACCUCAAGAAGGACUACCUCCUCUGUGGCUCAGAUGGCAAGGAGUUGGGGUGUGAAAACCACUUCUAUUUUGGUGUCAGAGAUUUACCAAAGAUAAAACAAUAAUUCUUACUAUGACAAGUUAAUUGGACAAGCUUGUUUGUAUUCAAUAAUUCUAACUAGAGCACAAGCUAAUGUCAGCAUAUUUAGUUUUGUUUGUUUGUCUUUUUCCUUCGUCUGUAAUUAACUGCUAAUUGUUGACAAAUGUGUUAAUGUUUCUGCAGAUUGCUUUCACCUCUGUCGUAUAUCCAUCCUUGAUUCUUGCAUAUAUGGGACAGGCUGCUUAUCUAUCGCAACAUCAUCUCAUUGAAAGUGAUUACCGGAUUGGAUUUUAUGUUUCUGUACCAGGUAGAUACCAUAGAUUUCUUUUCUUGAUAAUGUGUAACUUGAUUUUUAGGUGAGCUUCAGCUUAUAAAUAAUUAUCCAUAUUCAUGUGGCAGAGAAACUAAGAUGGCCAGUUCUGGUAAUAGCCAUACUUGCUGCGGUAGUGGGAAGCCAAGCUAUUAUCACUGGAACUUUCUCAAUCAUCAAACAAUGCUCUGCUCUAGGUUGCUUUCCUAGAGUCAAAAUAGUUCACACUUCAUCCAAAAUACAUGGCCAGAUUUACAUCCCAGAGAUCAACUGGAUCUUAAUGCUGUUAUGCUUGGCUGUUACUAUUGGUUUCAGAGACACAAACCGCUUGGGUAAUGCAUCUGGUAUGGCAAGGACAUAACAAGUAAUCUCAACCCCAUUUACAUUUUAUUUUCACUAUUCCCACUGUUCCUAAGUGGUUAUUUUUAGAACUAUUCCUCAUAUAGCUUUAUUAUUAUUGCAGUGGGCAAGCUACUAGUACAUAGGUUUUAGUUCAAAAUGAAUUGAUGCUUGGUAUAGUCUUGUGUCUUAAUCCCAGAUUCGAGCAUAUCCUUUUUUUAAGGGCCAUGGUUGGAUGCAUGACAUAUAUAACAUGUAAAAUGGUUCAGGAGGUGCUCCAUUAGGAGAUAGCCAAUGCUGAAAAUCAUUGAUCAUCUAAGUUUCUGUCUUGAUAUAUCAUUUUUUUUUCUUAUUGAAAGGAAAAAUACAGUAUUGGUGGCUUGUUAUAUGAACUAGCGAAGGGCUGAGAGAUUUAACCAUGUUGAGGGUUAUAGGAUACAAGAUCAGUUCAAGGGUCAUCACCCUCCUGUACACAUUCCUUUUAGAAUGUCUAAUCUAUACUCUGUCUCUGUGCAUACCCAUGCAUAAGUAUCAUCCAUCCACAUUACAGUUAGUUUGGGUCAGUUGUAUAGUAGGAAAGCCUGCAAUUCAUGGCUGGUCUUUGAAACUCUCAUAUUAUAUUAUGCAUAUAUUGUACUGAACCUAUGUGUGCAGAAGAUGCUUUGGAUAUAAGAGGUCUCAAAUGGGAAGAUAGUUUAUGGCAAGUGUCUUUCUUGAUCAUAUUUGAAGUGCAUAGAAUGUGUGUGUGUGUGUGAGAGAGAGAGAGAGAGAGGAGGGGGACAGAGAGAGGAAGACAUACAUACAAAGUGAGCAAAAUAACCAAGACUUGUUCUGAUCGCUUAGAACUGAGUUGCACCUUAUUGCACAAUAAGCACGUUUAUCCAAUCCUCUGUUUGUGCCUAUAAAGAAUUAUAAUUCAUCACUAACAACUCUGAUUGCCUAUAAAGAACUGAGCUGUAUGAAAUUAUUAAACAUACAGCCACACCCAAGUGGAGGGAGGAAGGGGAGGAUGCAAACACACACCCACACACACAGACUUAUUCAGAUGGCUUCCAACUGGGUUGCACCUUCACAUACAUCCAUAUAUCUUUUAAUUGCCUAUAAAGAAUAUAAUUGACCACUGACAACUGCCUAUUUGUGAAAAUUAGACCCCAUGGUGAAUUAGAGUACAUUACUAAUUAUUAGAAAUAAGGCAACUCAAGUAUUCUAAUUAUCAGCCUUGCAAAAUUUUUCUAACCUUUUGCCUGUUCUUCAUUUUGGAACAGGUUUGGCGGUUAUAACCGUGAUGCUAGUCACCACCUGCCUAAUGUCUCUAGUUAUUGUACUGUGUUGGCACCAGAGUGUCUUCUUUGCAAUUGGCUUCAUAUUCUUCUUU
Molecule: long non-coding RNA, 7514 nt
Filed under: Vitis vinifera (wine grape)
Lineage: Eukaryota; Viridiplantae; Streptophyta; Magnoliopsida; Vitales; Vitaceae
Description: long non-coding RNA (VVIN_LNC000141)
Source: RNAcentral